UUGCAUGGUUGGCUUAAAUCCGUGGUGACAAAUUGUUCUUUCUAUCUUUUACAAAUAACAAAUAGCAAUUGACGCGUAGUCAGUUGCAACAUAAAAUCACAACGACUCACAUUCUAAUACAAUCUUGUAUAAAUAUAAGCAGCCUAUGGUUAUAGCAUUGCUGUUGCAUAUGCGUAACUACGGCACAUAGGCGUGUAGCCUAUAUAACCCAUCAAAGUUGUCUUUAUGUCUUAGAUAUUUGUAGUUUUAGAAAAUAACGGAUACAAUUUAUUGUUAAAGUUAAUUGCAAGUAUAUUUGCCGUUAUUGUCACCCAUCUACACAAGCGUAUAAACAACGCUUCUUAUGACAAAUAACAAGUUUUCACAAUUAAAACAAGCCAAAUCAUCAUGGUGUUUAUAUUGUGGGCUAUUUGGUGUGAUACAUUAGAAAAAAAUAUCACAAUAGGUUGCUUUCUUGCGAGAGUUUGCAAAACCUAGAAAUUUUUUUAAUUCGAAUAGUUCUCUGAAACUCGAGAACUUGAAGUUGGAAUCGCCAGUAAUCGCUUAUCAGCUAUGAAGCGGUGAACAUUAUCGCUAGAGUGUAUUUACCGCCCGUCACGUUCUGAAAAUUUCUAUAUAGUCGAAUAUUUUGCUUUAUAAAUCCCAUAGCGGGAUGAUCUGCAUUUAACAUAUCUACGAACAUGUAGAAUUUUGCUGAUAUCACUAUAGGCAAAGUAAUAAAUUAUGUGUUUUAAUUAGGACUAAGUCGUAACAUGGUUUUUGUUCGGGAACGAGCGAAAGAUAUGAUAUUUU
RNAcentral lists this ribosomal RNA (792 nucleotides) under Jenufa minuta. RNAcentral's name for it is "small subunit ribosomal RNA". It matches the Rfam family "Bacterial small subunit ribosomal RNA", at positions 1041 to 1533 of the family's 1533-position model. The record is from RNAcentral. Lineage: Eukaryota; Viridiplantae; Chlorophyta; Chlorophyceae.